Cuculus canorus (common cuckoo) is the source of this 3910-nucleotide RNA transcript. It is a transcript of the gene named glutamyl-tRNA amidotransferase subunit B, with no coding region annotated. The transcript is spliced from 13 exons. Lineage: Eukaryota; Metazoa; Chordata; Aves; Cuculiformes; Cuculidae. The record is from RefSeq and is a predicted model, not a curated record.
GGCUCAGCGGCAAAGCCAGGCAAAAUGGCGGCGGUGGCGGCGAGGGGGUGCGGCGGCGCGGUUUGUCGCCGGGCGUGGCAGCGCGGCGUCGCCCGUAAAGCGAGAGGCGGGGCGGUGCCGGCGGGGAAGAGCGGUCUUGCACCAUGGGUACCAGUUGUGGGUCUGGAAAUUCAUGCACAGAUCAGUUCCAACUCAAAACUUUUCUCUGGUUCCCAAGUCCAGUUUGCAGCACCUCCUAACUCUUUGGUAUCUUUUUUUGAUGCUUCUUUACCAGGAACUUUACCAGUUCUCAACAGGAGAUGUGUAGAAGCAGCAGUGAUGACAGGCCUGGCACUCAACUGCAGAAUAAACAAGAAGUCCUUGUUUGACAGAAAACACUAUUUCUAUGCAGAUCUGCCUGCCGGUUAUCAAAUCACUCAACAAAGAGUUCCUAUUGCGGUGAAUGGAAGUCUGUCAUACAGUCUCUGCAUAGACAACAAAAUGAGCCAGAUGGUGACCAAAACUGUGAGGAUUAAACAAAUACAGUUGGAGCAAGACAGUGGAAAGAGUCUCCAUGAUGACAUAAGGAGCCAGACUCUCGUUGACUUGAAUAGGGCUGGAGUUGGCCUUAUGGAGGUUGUCAUGGAGCCUGAUAUGUGCUGUGGGGAAGAAGCAGCUGCAGCAGUCAGAGAGCUUCAGCUCAUUCUUCAAGCACUUGGGAGCAGCCAGGCAGUCAUGGCAGAGGGUCAGCUGAGAGUGGAUGCCAAUGUUUCUGUGCAUCACCCUGGAGAGCCUUAUGGAGUGAGGACUGAAGUGAAGAAUAUUAAUAGCUUACGAUUCCUGGCAAAAGCAGUAGACUAUGAAAUACAGAGGCAAAUUGAAGAACUUGAAAAUGGAGGAACAAUUCUGAAUGAAACAAGAGCCUUUGAUUCCAAGCUUGGGUGCACUGUGCCAAUGAGAGACAAAGAAGGAAAACAGGAUUAUCGGUUCAUGCCAGAGCCAAACCUUCCUCCAUUGAUUCUGUAUGAUGCUAAGUCUUUGCCAGCUAAUGUGAGUCAUCAGCAAGUGGUAAAUAUUGAUUGGAUUCAUGAGAGACUUCCUGACCUCCCCAGUGUGAAGAGAGCAAAGCUUGUUGAACAGUACGGGAUUCUUCCUGAACACAGCUUCACCUUAUUGCAGAAUGAAGAUGGAUUAACAGAAUUCUUUGAAAAUGUUGUAAAACAGACACAAAUGAAGCCAAGGAAAGUAAUCGGCUGGAUUCUGAAUGACUUGCUCAGUUAUUUGAAACAGCAUUCCCUUACAGUAAAGGAAAGCCCAGUCAGUUCUUUUCUCCUGGCUGACCUUCUGAACCUUCUAGAAAAAAAGGAAAUUUCUGCAGCAGCAGCAAAGCAAAGGUCUCUGAAGCAGUUUGUCUGAUGUGCAAGUGGAAGCAGCUUCUAGCUCUGCCCAUGUGCAGGGCUGGAAUGUGUCCUGGAUGAGAUGACCUGCACAGAUACAUGCUGUGGCCCACCCCAGAGGCGCCAUUUUGAAGCCUGCAGUGGGAGGUGCUGGUGCUGCUCACCCAGAGCCGAAACCACUCUAAUGGAGAACAUGCACAAGAUGGGGCCUCCAUCCCCAUUUGCAGGGCUGGCAGUGAGUACAUCUCUAGCACAAGGGGCCUGCCUUUGAGUUAUGGCUUUAGGGAAGGAGGCUGGAUUCUGUGCCAGGGAAGCAGGAACUUGCCCUUGCUGCCAAGAGCUGUGCUGGAGCAGCUCUGUGUGGACAGCCUUGUCACGCAUUCACUGGGGAUCUGUAGCAGGGUGUGGAGCAGAGCAGACCCCAGGUCUUGUUUGCUUCUGCAGUUGCGUAGGUCACCCACACAGGAAUAACUUCAAGAGAGCCACUUGGCACCCCUACUUUAAAGCAGAUAGCAGGGAAAUGAGUACAGUACACAAACCUAAACAGAACCAUCUGCUUUGACAAUUACGGCUGUACCAUCUGGAGGACUGGACCCAGGCUGCCCUUCACUUUUGUCAGAGGCUGAGGGACAGCUGCCAGACAUUGAGGCUUCCAUUGCUGGAAAGGAGAGAUGCCCACAGGACUGACUCAAGUGGUACUGCCUGCUGCUUCCCUUCCUCCCUCCCUUGGCAGCACAUCACUGCAGAUAGAGUUUCCAGUUGGAGCGUUCUCAGGCACAACAGUCAGCUGGCACGUUCACCAGUUGCAAAAUGUUUGAUAUGAUGCCCGUGGCAGCCAGACAUGUAAGUCCUGAUUAAUUCAUUUUGACCAAUGGUUUGCUGCUAUGCCUGUGUAGGUAGAGACUGCAAAACAUUAAAAUCUAAUCACGCCCAGACAGGAAUCAAUAGUAGAAACUACUGAGAUUUCAGUAAUGGAAAUGAGGCCUGAGAUUCUCCUUUUUGGCUCUGGAGACUUCACUAUUUGAUCCUCCUGUUCUGGUGCAGGCAGUUUGUGUAAAUGAGUUGAAAUAAUUUUUUAAACUGCUUUCUUUAGAUUCAUACUCUUUGCCAAGAGGAGAAACACUUUCUUGAAAGUGAAUCUUUGACAGGUCUUGGCCACAUCUCUGUCUGCUUUCCUACAUACCUGUAAACAAGCAAGGGCCUUGAUAACAUUGUUGCUCUACUAGGGAAGUGGAGAUGCUUGUUACCAAAUUGAAAAGUACACAUGAUGCAGAUGUCACAGGGAAAAUGUGGUGCCUUCAAGGUUUCUAAUGGGCAGGCUUUUCUCAGUGCCAGGAGAAGUCUGGCACAGGAAUAGCUGGAAAUCAGAGCUGGAUCUCUUGACUGUCAAGCUGUCCUGCCUCUGAUCUAAGUCAGCCUGAUGUAUGAAUUGCUCCUGGGUAAUUCUGCCACGGUCGGCUGCUUAGGUUUUGUUUGUUGCAGAUUUUCCCCUCCUGCAGCCCAUGGAAUCCUGCUUGAAUACAUACCAGUCCUAGAAAUCGCAUCUGCCUUUUUCAGGGAGAGCAGUGCGGCUUAUUUAUUGUCCAGCCUCUGAUUUGUGCAGUGCUUCAGGCUCUUCAGGGAGUUUUCCUAGGGGCUGUGCUGAGAGAAGAGGACAGGGCUCAUUCUGAGGGGUGAUAUACUGUCCUGGUGCCUCAGGAAGCCUCAGGGAGAGAAAACUUCCUGCCUGGUCCCUCAGAGGAAGGAAGGAGGGUGUCGCCUCGGGCGUCAGUGGAGUGCAACAAAAAAAAAGCAAGUGGCUGUCCACAGGACAAACCUCUAUUUGAUGUAUUUCUAGAGGUAUUCCAGGAAGCACUGGCACGAUGAUUUUUAAGUACUGCACUAGAAGAAAGGUCUUGUAGAAGACAUUGUAUACUGCACUGACUUAUUUAGAUAUAAACAGCUGAAAGAUAUACUUACAGCGGUUGUAACUGGCUGCUUAUCAGUGAGUUUAAUGAUGUGAUCUGCCUUUAACCCUCAUACAGGGAAAAAACGAGAUGCAGCUGCCACAAACAGCUCCGUAUCAUUACCCUCUCUCAAGGUCUCCAGCAAAGUAGUAAGAUCCAUAAAAAGCUUUGGGGUACUUCUGGUAAACAAAUCUUCUCUUGCAGGAAUUGUGUCAACAUAUGGUUCUUAAAUACCUGUUGUGGCUACAAAAUUGUUUCACUUGAGGGGUUUUUGCAUCAGAAAAUUCUUCCUGCUGAAGAAAACUGCUGGAGUAGUUGACAACCCAUCCCACAUGGGAUAGCAUCCCAUCAUUUUUCCUAAGUUGUCUUGCUGCUCUGCUGAUUAUUUAACAUGCCAUUUGAAUGCCCCUUCUCAUCUUCCCCAUCCCAGCCUCUUCUUCAUCCUACAGUGCUUGCAGAAUUGUGGAAGGGAGAAGGGAAGACUCCUCUUGAAAUUGUUAAAGAAAAGAAACUCGAACUGAUACAGGAUCAAAAAGAGCUUGAACAGAUCUGCCAGGUGGUGAUUGAUGGACAUGAAAACGAGGUGAU